Molecule: non-coding RNA, 46 nt
Organism: Schistosoma mansoni
Lineage: Eukaryota; Metazoa; Platyhelminthes; Trematoda; Strigeidida; Schistosomatidae
Source: Rfam
GCACUGCUGAGGAGUCCCACAAUAGGACAAAACGGCCUUCUAGUAC